UACGUAGGGUCCGAGCGUUGUCCGGAAUUACUGGGCGUAAAGAGCUCGUAGGUGGUUUGUCGCGUUGUCCGUGAAAACUCACAGCUCAACUGUGGGCGUGCGGGCGAUACGGGCAGACUGGAGUACUGCAGGGGAGACUGGAAUUCCUGGUGUAGCGGUGGAAUGCGCAGAUAUCAGGAGGAACACCGGUGGCGAAGGCGGCUACCUGGACCGGUUCUGACGCUGAGGCGCGAAAGCGUGGGUAGCAAACAGG
This 253-nucleotide ribosomal RNA is filed under the name uncultured bacterium. Its description in RNAcentral is "partial 16S ribosomal RNA". It matches the Rfam family "Bacterial small subunit ribosomal RNA", at positions 524 to 776 of the family's 1533-position model. The record is from RNAcentral.